RNAcentral lists this ribosomal RNA (348 nucleotides) under Levilactobacillus brevis. RNAcentral describes it as "bacterial SSU rRNA". It matches the Rfam family "Bacterial small subunit ribosomal RNA", at positions 1159 to 1506 of the family's 1533-position model. Lineage: Bacteria; Bacillati; Bacillota; Bacilli; Lactobacillales; Lactobacillaceae. The record is from RNAcentral.
UAACUGGAGGGAAGGUGGGGAUGACGUCAAAUCAUCAUGCCCCUUAUGACCUGGGCUACACACGUGCUACAAUGGACGGUACAACGAGUCGCGAAGUCGUGAGGCUAAGCUAAUCUCUUAAAGCCGUUCUCAGUUCGGAUUGUAGGCUGCAACUCGCCUACAUGAAGUUGGAAUCGCUAGUAAUCGCGGAUCAGCAUGCCGCGGUGAAUACGUUCCCGGGCCUUGUACACACCGCCCGUCACACCAUGAGAGUUUGUAACACCCAAAGCCGGUGAGAUAACCUUCGGGAGUCAGCCGUCUAAGGUGGGACAGAUGAUUAGGGUGAAGACGUAUGUAGUGUGGGGGGUA